UUGCUGGUGUCCUCAGGGUCUCAUCUUUGAUCAGAUCUACACCGAUGAAGAGUCCAGUGCCCCUGAAGGAGAAACAAACAGACAUGCAUAUACACAGAAAUUUCCACAAGCACUAGCAACUAAAGACUGGAAAAAAAAGACACCCCAUCAUUUCACAGAGGAGGGGACAUGUGCACAGUAAGCCGGAAGAGGGCUGGAGGGUCAGCUUUGUUUACAAGCCUGAAGCCUAGAGUUCAGCCAUGAAACCCACAUUGAUGGAGAGAACUGAUCCCUGCAAGUUACUGCUUCAGGUACACAACAAAGUACAUAAAUUUUUGUUUCUUUUGUUC
Molecule: long non-coding RNA, 329 nt
Organism: Apodemus sylvaticus (European woodmouse)
Lineage: Eukaryota; Metazoa; Chordata; Mammalia; Rodentia; Muridae
Exons: 2
Source: RefSeq, a predicted model, not a curated record